RNAcentral lists this ribosomal RNA (408 nucleotides) under uncultured Kocuria sp. Its description in RNAcentral is "bacterial SSU rRNA". It matches the Rfam family "Bacterial small subunit ribosomal RNA", at positions 353 to 772 of the family's 1533-position model. Lineage: Bacteria; Bacillati; Actinomycetota; Actinomycetes; Micrococcales; Micrococcaceae. The record is from RNAcentral.
AGUGGGGAAUAUUGCACAAUGGGCGAAAGCCUGAUGCAGCGACGCCGCGUGAGGGAUGACGGCCUUCGGGUUGUAAACCUCUUUCAGCAGGGAAGAAGCCACAAGUGACGGUACCUGCAGAAGAAGCGCCGGCUAACUACGUGCCAGCAGCCGCGGUAAUACGUAGGGCGCAAGCGUUGUCCGGAAUUAUUGGGCGUAAAGAGCUCGUAGGCGGUUUGUCGCGUCUGCUGUGAAAGCCCGGGGCUUAACCCCGGGUGUGCAGUGGGUACGGGCAGACUAGAGUGCAGUAGGGGAGACUGGAAUUCCUGGUGUAGCGGUGGAAUGCGCAGAUAUCAGGAGGAACACCGAUGGCGAAGGCAGGUCUCUGGGCUGUUACUGACGCUGAGGAGCGAAAGCAUGGGGAGCGAA